RNAcentral lists this ribosomal RNA (659 nucleotides) under Stenotrophomonas sp. EECC-511. Its description in RNAcentral is "bacterial SSU rRNA". It matches the Rfam family "Bacterial small subunit ribosomal RNA", at positions 88 to 743 of the family's 1533-position model. The record is from RNAcentral. Lineage: Bacteria; Pseudomonadati; Pseudomonadota; Gammaproteobacteria; Lysobacterales; Lysobacteraceae.
GUGGCGAGUGGCGGACGGGUGAGGAAUACAUCGGAAUCUACUUUUUCGUGGGGGAUAACGUAGGGAAACUUACGCUAAUACCGCAUACGACCUACGGGUGAAAGCAGGGGACCUUCGGGCCUUGCGCGAUUGAAUGAGCCGAUGUCGGAUUAGCUAGUUGGCGGGGUAAAGGCCCACCAAGGCGACGAUCCGUAGCUGGUCUGAGAGGAUGAUCAGCCACACUGGAACUGAGACACGGUCCAGACUCCUACGGGAGGCAGCAGUGGGGAAUAUUGGACAAUGGGCGCAAGCCUGAUCCAGCCAUACCGCGUGGGUGAAGAAGGCCUUCGGGUUGUAAAGCCCUUUUGUUGGGAAAGAAAUCCAGCCGGCUAAUACCUGGUUGGGAUGACGGUACCCAAAGAAUAAGCACCGGCUAACUUCGUGCCAGCAGCCGCGGUAAUACGAAGGGUGCAAGCGUUACUCGGAAUUACUGGGCGUAAAGCGUGCGUAGGUGGUUGUUUAAGUCUGUUGUGAAAGCCCUGGGCUCAACCUGGGAACUGCAGUGGAAACUGGACAACUAGAGUGUGGUAGAGGGUAGCGGAAUUCCCGGUGUAGCAGUGAAAUGCGUAGAGAUCGGGAGGAACAUCCAUGGCGAAGGCAGCUACCUGGACCAACACUGA